CUUGAAAAUUUCCUUAUUUGAGGACAAACUAAAAGCCUUACUUUUAAGAUACAAUUUAUUGCUACUUUAUGCUGUGUCUGUAGCGAGACACUUUCAAAUUGGUUUAAGAUUCUAUCCAGUCUUGGAAAUAUUGUGAAGAUAUUUGAUUUUCGCCUAGAUGUUUUCAAUGAGUGAUCUUCGUGAUUUACUGGCAGAAAGUGUUUGAAUCCUUCCAACUUUCUGCGGAUCUUCUUCUAAGGAGAGCAACAAAGGACACAGAGACUGCGCUGGAAGUUAUUGCAGAUGCUCUAUCUAUAAGUUCGUAUUCAGAGAAAUUACUUGAAAUGAGAGCUGGCAGAAGCUCUUUUCCCGCUGCGGAGGUAUGAAGAGGUAAUUCUGCCAUGCGAGCAGACCUUCGAUUCAGCUGAAAGGAAUUAAUUCUCCGUCUGCAGAUGGUGAUAGCCUGUUAGGGAAUCCAGAUGGUUCUGAAGUUUCAAAGAGUCCUUCCUUCAGGCUUUGGCGUUGCCUUCUGAUAUUCAGAUCACUUUUUCAUCUUGGAAAGCUGGAGGAGGAAAUUGCUUCACUGGAGAAGCACGAGGUAGAGGGUUUUACUACAAGGGGGAAUGGAAGCAAGGCUUUGGAAUCGUCCAUACCCUUAGUUGCCACUGUGCAUGAGCUCUUGCGCCAUAGGGUAUGCCAUUCAAUCAGUAAGCCGGACUCUGAAAUCAUCAAUGCCCUCAAAACCUGUUUUGUGCCUAUACAUAUAAUGAUAUUUGUUAGAUUUUCUUGUGACUGGAUUCAAUGAAAUCUACAAGGUGUCUGUGUAUCGUUUUGUUGCCAUUUUAUGGUAUGUGUGAAGGGCUGUUGGUGUGUCCUCUGAAGAGUCUCAGUUCCUUAUUUGUAACAAGACUUCAUAUGAUUUUAUUAUUCAAUGGUUUGUUUUCCAUCGAUUGUGAAAGAGAACUGAUCGAAUGCAUCAACAUAGACCCUUACUUGAAAAGAGAUCGAGAUUAAAGGGUUCAGACAAAUCUGAUGUCAGAGAACAACAAAGGGAAAGUAAAAUAAAAAACUUUAUUACAUAUAUUGUAAAUCAUCCUUGCUGUGUCUCAAAAAGUUGAAUACCAAGCAAUUGUUCUAGUUUUAAUCUCAUCUGUUCCCCACUUUCUGUUGUUGCACUCGAGUAUUCUCAAAAAGUUUUGAUAUUUUCGCUUUUAUUUUACUAUAGCUGUGUUUGAUCUCCAUAUGCUGCAAUGGAAGCGUAGAAGCAUUUGCUGAUAUAUUGGCAUUUUUCUUUUAGGUUGAUGGAAAUUUUUAAGGUCAUGCCAUUGUUAUG
Long non-coding RNA from Tripterygium wilfordii, 1312 nucleotides. RefSeq lists it as uncharacterized. Lineage: Eukaryota; Viridiplantae; Streptophyta; Magnoliopsida; Celastrales; Celastraceae. The transcript has 3 exons. The record is from RefSeq and is a predicted model, not a curated record.